UUACCCCAUUCCAGCGUACUAAGGCCCGAUUAACGAAGUUUUGAAGCUCUCUACCAUCAUCAAAAUCCAUAGCACCAUUGUCGAAAUUAAGGUAGGGAGCGGUGGUCCAAAGGUUUUUCCAGCGCUUCGAUAGAAAUGUCGUCCUAACAACAUCAGUCAUAGGCAACGACCAAAAUAUGUGAAAUAUUAUCGAGUCCGGCAACUCACUGAGUCGAUCCAUGAAACCCUCUGAAACAUAAUGAAGCAUCAAAGGAAUGAAAUGUGCAUCAAAAACUCAGAAUUCACCUUUAAUGGAAGCAAAAUAACACAUUGUAGUAUCAAAUUCUCGAAGAUUACCUCAAGAUGAACGCUUCUUCGCUCUCGCGCCAACAAAACCCUUGUUUGAGCUAAUGAACAAACAAAGGAGACUCAAAAGGCAUUGUAGCAUUGCUGCCUAAAAGCGCUAAAGUGGAAAAUUAAGCUUGGAACUUGGGGUUUUAAAAUCGCAAAUCGAAAUAAAAGCUGCUAUUGCAUUCUUUUAUAGGGGUUUUAAUUUACGGUAAUGUUCUUUGAACAAAAUAUAUGUCCGCACAAAAAUAUGGUUAAAUAUUUUUAAAAGAUAAAUUUAUUUAAAAUUUUUGGUUCAAACAAAACAAGAAUUUUGUUAGUUUUAUUCAUUUCUCCUUAUUAUAUUUUUUGUAAUUAUUUAAUAAUAUUUUUAAUUUUUAUUAUUUUUAAAGUGCAAAAAUUACAAAAAAAGGAAAAUAAUAAAAAUUAAAAGAAUUGUUAAAAAAUUACAAAAAAAACUACAAUAUGAAAAAAUUAAUAAAGCUAAAUAAAUCCUGUUUGAAUUUGAACCAAAGAUUAUAAAUAAAUCAAGUUUUUUAAAUUUAUGACCUUUUUUUAUCAGAAUAAAUUUUGUCCAAAUAACACUGCCAUUUAAUUUAUUCUGUCACCAACCAAAACCAUUGGCAGAUUACCAUUUUAUCUCUCUUAAUUAAUACCUUCUCAUCAAAAGCGAGGUGGAUAUUUUUGUGAUAUUGGAGUAAUUACUAAUAGCAUCCACUUAAGAGCUACUACUUUAUAAGAAGGGACUUUAAAAUUGGUUUGAAAAUUUUUAUUUUUAUUUUAUUCAAAUUGAUUUCUUCAUUUUUGAAAUCAAACAUUUUAUUAAGUUUUAAAUUUAAACAUUACAAUGAUUAAAACAAAAUAUAGUAAUAAAAAAAUAUUACAAUAAUUAAAUAAAAUGAAGAGUUAGUUGGAAGAGGAGUGGGAAGAAGAAGACAUUUUAAAGGAGGAGAAUGAUAGAAAAUGAGUAGUGAGAAUUGAUGUGAAAAAUAGCAGAAAUGAAAUACUCAAUAGAUCAAUUUUAGAAUAAAAAAAAGUGAAACAACCGUUGCAUGACUAAUUAAAAGAAAUCGACAGAAAGAGCCAUUGAGAUCAAUUUAAAAUUUAAUUUUAAAAUGGUGUGCACAUAGGUUGAGCCUCAUAUUUCUAGACGAAAGUCUGACGUGAGGCUUAAAGCUCGGCACGAGCUUGAGGUGCGGCACUGGGAGGGCAGUGCGGAUAGUGGGGCUCGAUGUAGCAGGUACAGUCCCGUUGUGGCCCGUGUGGAUGCUCUAAAUAAAAAUAUAUAGUGUAUUUAUAUUAGGUAGCUUCCUUAAGGUGUAGUCUUCAUUAUAAUACCGCAGUCUUGUUUAAGGUUCACCUCAAUCAAUUAACGAACAAGGAUAAUGUAUCAUUCAUAUUUGUUAGAGCUAAUUUAUUAAUUCUAUUUUAUUUGUAUAGGUUUGUCUUUUUUAUUAAAUAUAUUAUAUUUAGGACAAUAUAUAUUGUUAGUUUGCAUUUGCAACAUAUUAAUUUGGUCAUGGCCGGAAAUAAUUUGGUUAUGGGCCGUUAUUUGGGCUCACCAUCCUUAAUUUUCAAGUUUCAAUAACUCUAUAAAUAGAACCCAAAAAUUGCACCAAAUAAAACCCCAAACACGUUUCUAUGAAAUCUAUUUUUUAAUGUUUAGAACUUAGAAACCCAAAAACUUUUUUAUUCCAUGGGCAACUCACUAUAAGAAGCUCCAUCGUGAUUAUGUUUUUUUUUUUUCCCUUUAUUAGUUUAACAGAAUAUUUAGUUGAUAACUAAGAAAAGAGGUGACAAUUUCAGUUCUCUUUUGCUUGAAUACCAACAGAAAUCUGAAUGAUCGACGUUUUAUACGUGAGAGAAAUGAAAUUGUUAGCCUAUCAUAUGAAGCACUAGAUUAAUUUGACAUUGGGAAGUAAAGCAAGAUAAACAACAAUAGUGCUACUAAUGAAAAUUGCUCUGCUUCCCUAAAUAAGCAAAUAUAUAAAGAAAAUUUGAAGACGAAACAAAAGGAUAUCAAGCUCAGCACAUACUGCAUUCCUAUGAAUAUGAUUGAAGACAUAACUUGGUAAGAUCAAUAUUCAAAAAAGUAAAUUGUGCAGUUCAUGAGGUUUCAUUCAUAGCACUAAGAAAUUCAUCCAAAAGUGUCGAACUGCUCUACUGCCCUGAAUAAGCAAAAUACAACAACAAAAUGAAACAAACAAGGUAACAAAAACUGAAACAGGGUUAAAGAAAAGUAAAAUCCAACUCCCCAGAUCGGAGCAUAAUGCCGUCAUUGCAAAAUAUUUACAGAAAAUGUACGACAAACGCUAUUACCCGUCCAAGAAGACAAUCAGCUAGUUACUUGGAGUCAUGUGGCAUUCCUAUGAUUAGAGACAUAACUUGGUAAGAUCAAUAUUCACAGAAAAUCAAUUGAGCAGUUGGGGAGGAUCUUGGCAUUCUCAGCAGUUUCUGUGAUGCCCGAAACAAAGAUUUUGAUGGACAUUUAGGUGGCAUGAUUCCUCUUACUCUGAACACCAUCUUUUCUAGAUUGCUCGCGUAUUUUAACAGAAACUCUAAAAACGGAAAUACUUCGUCAUCCUCAUCCUCAUCCCAAAUAACCUCAACUGUCCUCAACUGCAGAAAGGACUCGGGAGGAUAUGCUUCAAACUUGAGGGAGCUCUUGGCAUCAAAGUUGAGUGACUCUUGGUUUUCAUGCAUCUCGAAUCCUACUCUACAUUUAAGGACUAACUUCUUUAAUUGAGGAAAACUCUCAAGUAGACUUACUAAUAGUUUGUAGUCAUUGAAACAAAAUCCAAGAUGCAAGGACUUGACAUUAGGAAAAGAGGAAGUCAUGCAUCUCUUUAUCAUAGCUCCAAGCACCUGACGUAAAACAAGUUCAUGAUAAUAAUCAGCUCACUGAAGCAAACACCAAGUAAGAAAAAAAGGCAAGCAUUGAUUUUUAGGGAUGCAACAAUGACUUCAUCAAAUUAAAAGAAUGUCAAACAUUCCAUAUCAUUUAUGGUUAUUAGUUAUUACAAUACUAACAUACAAGUCACAAGCUUGAUGCUACAAAGUAAUGCGUAUAUAAAAAUUCUAGAAUGGAUUUAAAAAGGCCAAAAAAGGAUAGGAGUUAGUUGCAUGAUGAAAGUGGGAACUGUAAUAUAAGUGGUUCAGUUAAAGAAGCCAAUGAUGCAACAAAGAAAGCAUACAAAGACCACCAUGCCAUCCAAGCUGACAUGCAUUGAAGUUAGAAUUAAGAAAACAUGACUAACAACUAUGCUAAAUAAAUAAUGAAAACUUCAUCAACAUAUUUAGAAAUUAAUUUGAUCACUUCAUCCUCAUUGCUACUCUAUCAAUACAUAUAUAACAAAUGCAAGACGCAUAAGAUUAGUUUAAAGAACCGAACCUUGAUGCAACAGAACAUUAAUGUGACAUUUUCAACAUGUUGGAUGGUUGAGAGAAUUUGACAGAACACGUCUCCCAGAAAAUCAUCCGAGGUAAACAAGCCACGCUCGGUGUCCAUCCCAGGAAAGUCCACAUCGUAUACAUCAAAGCAAUGUAGACCAAAAAACGCAAGAGUUGCGUGGGUUAAAGAUGAGACAUUCACCAACAGACACUUUUUAUAUGGAGCUCCUUUAAUUUCUAAGGUGUGAAGAUUUGGGGUGCAAAUUCUCAGUUCUGAAUCCCAACAUAGUUCAGCACAAAAUUGAAAAUACCUGUGAAUCGACAGCACUUUCAAACUAGUAGAUUGGAUACACAAGUUUUCACCUAUAUCUAGAAAAGACAUGAUCAAGACUUCCAACCGAGGACUACCACACAAUAUUUGGUUAAUCACACGUUCAGUGACCUCAUCACCAUUAAUAAUUGUCAAACUCUUGAGUUGAUUCCACUGAACAUUCCCAUAAACUCUCAAGUUACAAUCCUCAAACGAUAACACUUUAAGCGAUGAACAUGAGUAUACACACUGCGGCACCCAGUAUAUGUCGUCAUUAUCAUUAAUUUCAAACAGAAUAUGUAAGUAUAAUUCUUCGACCCCCUUAUCCUUGGCAAAUUGAACCCACAAAUCAGUACCCAAACACAUGGACUCAUCAAACUCAUAAAUCGAUUUGAACUUGAAUUUCAGAAGCCUUACCCCAUUCCAGCGCAAUAAGGCCCGAUUAACGAAGUUUUGAAUCUUUGUAUCAUCAUCAAAGUUCAUGGCAGCAUUGUCGAAAUUAAGGUAGGGUGCGGUGGUCCAAAGGUUUUUCCAGCGCUUCGAUAGAAUCGUUGUCCUAACAACAUCAGUCAUAGGCAACGACCAAAAUAUGUGAAAUAUGAUCGAGUCCGGCAACUCACUGAGUCGAUCCAUCAAA
This 4664-nucleotide long non-coding RNA is filed under the name Salvia miltiorrhiza (redroot sage). RNAcentral describes it as "long non-coding RNA (SMIL_LNC007980)". The record is from RNAcentral. Lineage: Eukaryota; Viridiplantae; Streptophyta; Magnoliopsida; Lamiales; Lamiaceae.